Molecule: small RNA, 17 nt
Filed under: Arabidopsis thaliana (thale cress)
Lineage: Eukaryota; Viridiplantae; Streptophyta; Magnoliopsida; Brassicales; Brassicaceae
Description: ATSL147360
Source: RNAcentral
UUAUGGCCGACUUUCUC